AUGGGAGCCGGCCCCCGGCUCCGGGUAAAACGGUGGCUGAGGCCUCGGGUCCGUGAGCCUCGCUCUCAGGAGGGGACAACGAGUGCGGGCAGAGCGGGCCUGGGGUCGGGUGGGGGCCGGACGAGCAGUCCCGGUUCCCAUUCACUUUCCCAGCCGGGUAUCCCGCGAGCACCGAGCAGGGAAGCACCCGGGCGAAAGGCGCCGCCCCGGAUCCGGCUGGACAGCAGGACCGAGAGCGACGCGGCGAGCGGUGCCCGGGGCUCGGGGCCGAGAGGGCAGGCGAGCCGGGCGCAACCCCGAUCCGGCCCCGCGAGCUCCCGCGCAGGGGCCACGCGGCGGCCGCCCCCUCGCCCAGCACUGGCACGGACUGGCGGGCAGCCCCGGGGCCACUCCACAACUUGCCGCCCCGCCGCCCCGGCCCCCCGCGAGAUCCCGGGGAGCGGAGGCAGGAUUUCCCCGGAAACGCACCCUCCCCGCCGCCCCGACGCCCCCGCGGCCCUGCCCGCCCAGCCAGCGCCUCCGCGGGCCGCACUCCCGGCCGUUUCCGGCGGGGCCAGAGCGGGCUCCUCCGAGCGCCCCGGCCGCGGCCGCCACUCACCCGAGGCCGCCGCGGCUCCCAGCCUCCGGCUCCGUCAGGCUCGGUCCGCGAAGGCGCCCGCCGCCCCGUCCUGGCCCGGCGCCCCGGCGAGCUCUUCCCUCCGACCAGCGGCGCUCCCUGCGCAGCGGCGGACGCGAGGCCACGGGCGGACGGGCGCGCGCGGGUGGCGGGCGGGCGUGGGGCCGGGUCGUCCCUGCGCCUCGCCGCGCCUCCUCCACCUCCUCCGCCGCCGCCUCCCGAGUUCGGGGCUCUGCUGCAAUGUCUGCGAGGCUGACUUUGAGCGCCUCGCUCGCCGCCCGCCCGCAGCCGCGCUCCUCCCUCCGCCGCCGAGUCCGCCGCGGCCCAGUCCCUCCCCUCGCCGCCCCACGCCAUUCAGCUCUUCAGCCAAGUUUCUUAACCCUUUUCUCCCCCUCCCUCCCAUUGUCACCCGGUCGGGAGGAAGCCGCGCGGAUGCGGGCCGCUCUCAGGAGUCGGGAAGCCCCCUCUGGUUCGUGGUUUUCCUCCUCGCCUGCUCGGGGGUGGCCCAGACGGGGCUGCGGGGCCCCGGGGCGGCGAGAGGACCGCGUCCCCGGGAGAGGGGACGUUCCCCGGGCUCCCAGCUCUGUCCAGCGGCCCCCGACCGCCGCAGGCGCCUGGACAGCUCCUCCCGGGCACUCGGGGAAGCGCUCUCGGGACCCAGGCCGAUCGCUCCCGCCUGGGCACAGCCCGGGAGCCGGACGCCCCAGGGUCCCCGCCUGGGUGCUGGCGCCUUAAGCGUCUACCUCCUCCCCUUCACCCCACGACACGCGCUCCCUGGGCUCCCUCUCACCCACCCACCCCCGAUUUCCACCUCCUUGUCAUCUGUGUGUCCUGCUUUAAUCUCGGGGGGCACGGGCGCGAACUCUGGGUCACUUUGA
Molecule: long non-coding RNA, 1494 nt
Organism: Callithrix jacchus (white-tufted-ear marmoset)
Lineage: Eukaryota; Metazoa; Chordata; Mammalia; Primates; Cebidae
Source: Ensembl